GUGAACGUGGCCGGGUACUUUAUAGUCUGCUAUAAAAGGUCCAAUUUACAACAAAGCAAAUUUCGAAAAACAAAUAUGACAGACAUGAAAGAGCCACUGUACUACAGGCUCUUGUAUGGUUACCCUUCCCUAUAAAACACAGACACAAAGACAGACAUUAGAGAGCCACUGUACUACAGGCUCUUGCAUAGUUACCCUUCCCUAUCAAAGACAGACAUGAAAGGGCCACUGUACUACAGGCUCUUGUAUGGUUACCCUUCCCUAUAAAAGACAGACAUUAAAGAGCCACUGUACUACAAGCUCUUGCAUAGUUACCCUUCCCUAUAAAACAAUGACACAAAGCAAGCUUAAAAAGUCCCAGACAUGUCAAAAUAUUGAACAAGCCUACGGUCCAUGUAUUUAUAUUUAUAUAUUAAAGGAAAGAAAAAAAUAUUCCAGUCUGCAACAAAAGACAACCGCUGGAUCACAGAGUCCUUCGACACAUACAUAAUGUGUUGGGGUUCAACAUUACAGAUCACUCCUCAAAAAUUGGAAAGUGUCGUGGCAAUACAACAAAAGUAUAGACUGUAAGAACCAAUUAUAAAGAACUUCUUCAAGUAUACAAACUUCAAUAUAAAUAAUAUCACAUUUUUAGCUUUAUAUUUCAUGAUAUCCAAAACAAAUAAUAAAAUUGUUCAGUUUUUGUAUUAAUGACAAACCACGGAAGCUGUUACAUGUAACUUGAGAACAACAAAGUUUGUUAUUUUUUGCCAUUGCAGGAAACAACGACACGAUGUUAACAUUUAAACAAAAUGUCAUAUAUAAUCACAAUCAAAUUGUUUGGUCGAAGCGGACGAGGGGAAGGGUAUAAUUCGGGCAAGAUCCUUCUGGAAACAUGAUAUCACUAACGUGCAAACUUGACUCUUGCAUGUAUUUGAGAUAUAAUGGAAGCUAUUCUUCACGUUCUAACUUUGUCUUCUCUUUCUAUCGUAUAUGUGUUCAGAUUUUUAUAGUAUCAUAGAAUAGGCAGAAGAAGAUAGAAUUGUGACCCAACAAAAAGGUUUCAAUAUUAAUCGAAGUAUGAUCAAGUUGUCAUAAUACAGAUAUACAUGUAUAAGGCAGUCAGUUCGAAAUUAAUAGUCAUUGUACAGGUAUCCGAAUUAUUAUAAAAUGAAAUUUAGAAAGAUUUAAUCACUUAAUUGCAGAAUGUGAAUUAUUCAUAUUUGUCUCUGAACGUAUUUUGUUAUUUCGCCGGGACGGAAUGAAAUAAUAGUUUAUAUGAUACAUUAAUUAAAUAUUACAUGUUACAUUAUUGUUUCAGGUAAGGGUGAAUGUUGGUACCUAUAAAAACUUUGAAACAAGGC
This 1343-nucleotide long non-coding RNA is filed under the name Mytilus galloprovincialis (Mediterranean mussel). Lineage: Eukaryota; Metazoa; Mollusca; Bivalvia; Mytilida; Mytilidae. The record is from RNAcentral.